Molecule: unclassified non-coding RNA, 260 nt
Filed under: Hevea brasiliensis (rubber tree)
Lineage: Eukaryota; Viridiplantae; Streptophyta; Magnoliopsida; Malpighiales; Euphorbiaceae
Source: RNAcentral
ACCAUCCUCACGCCCUCUUCCUCUUCCACGCCCUAACACUGGAGGUUUCCUAUCUGCACGGCUUUUGGCUUCUUCCUGAACUUUAUCGAUAACCUCAUCUGGAACUCGCAAAUACUUGAUUGUAUUACCACGGAUAUAACAUUCAGGCAUUCGCCAAAACCGGUCACCAUCUUUUGAAGUGCAGAUGACUUCCCGAAGAUGAAUGUUCAUCCAUGUAUCACAAUUCACCAGAUGCCCGUUGUAAGUCUCCCCAUUCUUCA